Molecule: transfer RNA, 65 nt
Filed under: Oreochromis niloticus (Nile tilapia)
Lineage: Eukaryota; Metazoa; Chordata; Actinopteri; Cichliformes; Cichlidae
Also listed under: 1 other name
Rfam family: tRNA
About the family: Transfer RNA (tRNA) molecules are approximately 80 nucleotides in length. Their secondary structure includes four short double-helical elements and three loops (D, anti-codon, and T loops). Further hydrogen bonds mediate the characteristic L-shaped molecular structure. tRNAs have two regions of fundamental functional importance: the anti-codon, which is responsible for specific mRNA codon recognition, and the 3' end, to which the tRNAs corresponding amino acid is attached (by aminoacyl-tRNA synthetases). tRNAs cope with the degeneracy of the genetic code in two manners: having more than one tRNA (with a specific anti-codon) for a particular amino acid; and 'wobble' base-pairing, i.e. permitting non-standard base-pairing at the 3rd anti-codon position.
Source: Rfam by way of RNAcentral
GUCAUGAUGGUUUACACAUUCGCCUAACAAGUGAAAGGUCGCUGGUUUGAUUCCAGCUGGAGACA